GUGCAUAUGAUGUAAACAUUUUUUUUUGUCUGACUGCCUGUGAUGCUUUCAAAGGAACCACUGAUGCCA
Nothobranchius furzeri (turquoise killifish) is the source of this 69-nucleotide small nucleolar RNA. RefSeq annotates it as small nucleolar RNA SNORD42. NCBI's taxonomy places the organism in Eukaryota, Metazoa, Chordata, Actinopteri, Cyprinodontiformes, Nothobranchiidae. The record is from RefSeq and is a predicted model, not a curated record.